AGGGAUGCAAAGCUGUGAAGUGGAGCGAACCCCUAAAAGCCGUCCCAGUUCAGAUCGCAGUCUGCAACCCGACUGCGUGAAGUCGGAAUCGCUAGUAAUCGCGGAUCAGCAUGCCGCGGUGAAUACGUUCCCGGGCCUUGUACACACCGCCCGUCACACCAUGAGAGUCGGGAACACCCGAAGUCCGUAGCCUAACCGCGAAGGGGGCGCGGCCGAAGGUGGGUUCGAUAAUUGGGGUGAAGUCGUAACAAGGUAUC
This 257-nucleotide ribosomal RNA is filed under the name uncultured bacterium. Its description in RNAcentral is "partial 16S ribosomal RNA". It matches the Rfam family "Bacterial small subunit ribosomal RNA", at positions 1243 to 1500 of the family's 1533-position model. The record is from RNAcentral.